This 484-nucleotide ribosomal RNA is filed under the name uncultured bacterium. RNAcentral's name for it is "partial 16S ribosomal RNA". It matches the Rfam family "Bacterial small subunit ribosomal RNA", at positions 29 to 507 of the family's 1533-position model. The record is from RNAcentral.
AUUGAACGCUGGCGGCAUGCUUUACACAUGCAAGUCGAACGGCAGCGCGGGCUUCGGCCUGGCGGCGAGUGGCGCAAGGGUGAGUAAUACAUCGGAACGUGCCCAGUAGUGGGGGAUAGCUAGGCGAAAGCAGGAUUAAUACUGCAUACGACCUGAGGGUGCAAGCGGGGGAUCUUCGGACCUCGCGCUAUUGGAGCGGCCGAUGGCCGAUUAGCUAGUUGGUGGGGUAAAGGCCUACCAAGGGGACGAUCUGUAGGUGGUCUGAGAGGACGGCAGGCCACACUGGGAGGUGAACACGGCCCAGGCUCCUACGGGAGGCAGCAGUGGGGAAUGUUAGACAGUGGGCGAAAGCCUGGUCCAGCAAUGCCGCGUGUGAGAUGGAGGCCUUCGGGUUGUAAAGCACUUUUGGCGGGAACGAAAAGGACUGUGCCAAUACCACGGUUCGAUGACGGUACCCGCAGAAUAAGCACCGGCUAACUACGUG